Molecule: transfer RNA, 72 nt
Filed under: Yaravirus sp. 'brasiliensis'
Lineage: Varidnaviria; Bamfordvirae; Nucleocytoviricota; Mriyaviricetes; Yaraviridae
Description: Yaravirus brasiliensis tRNA
Rfam family: tRNA
About the family: Transfer RNA (tRNA) molecules are approximately 80 nucleotides in length.
Source: Rfam by way of RNAcentral
GCCCAGUUAGUUUAGUGAGCAAAACACCACGCUGUGGCCGUGGCGACGCUGGUGCAAUUCCGGCACAGGGCA